RNAcentral lists this ribosomal RNA (567 nucleotides) under uncultured archaeon. Its description in RNAcentral is "bacterial SSU rRNA". It matches the Rfam family "Archaeal small subunit ribosomal RNA", at positions 326 to 897 of the family's 1478-position model. The record is from RNAcentral.
CGGGGUGCAGCAGGCGCGAAAACUUUACAAUGCGGGAAACCGUGAUAAGGGGACACCGAGUGCCAGCAUCAUAUGCUGGCUGUCCAGGUGUGUAAAAUACACCUGUCAGCAAGGGCCGGGCAAGACCGGUGCCAGCCGCCGCGGUAACACCGGCGGCCCGAGUGGUGAUCGUGAUUAUUGGGUCUAAAGGGUCCGUAGCCGGUUUGGUCAGUCCUCCGGGAAAUCUGACGGCUCAACCGUUAGGCUUUCGGGGGAUACUGCCAGGCUUGGAACCGGGAGAGGUAAGAGGUACUACAGGGGUAGGAGUGAAAUCUUGUAAUCCCUGUGAGACCACCUGUGGCGAAGGCGUCUUACCAGAACGGGUUCGACGGUGAGGGACGAAAGCUGGGGGCACGAACCGGAUUAGAUACCCGGGUAGUCCCAGCCGUAAACGAUGCUCGCUAGGUGUCAGGCAUGGCGCGACCGUGUCUGGUGCCGCAGGGAAGCCGUGAAGCGAGCCACCUGGGAAGUACGGCCGCAAGGCUGAAACUUAAAGGAAUUGGCGGGCGAGCACAAGGGCGAAUCGCG